This 253-nucleotide ribosomal RNA is filed under the name uncultured bacterium. RNAcentral describes it as "partial 16S ribosomal RNA". It matches the Rfam family "Bacterial small subunit ribosomal RNA", at positions 524 to 776 of the family's 1533-position model. The record is from RNAcentral.
UACGGAGGGGGCAAGCGUUGUUCGGAAUUACUGGGCGUAAAGGGCUCGUAGGCGGCCAACUAAGUCGGACGUGAAAUCCCCAGGCUCAACCUGGGAACUGCGUCCGAUACUGGAUGGCUUGAAUUCGGGAGAGGGAUGCAGAAUUCCAGGUGUAGCGGUGAAAUGCGUAGAUAUCUGGAGGAAUACCGGUGGCGAAGGCGGCAUCCUGGACCGACAUUGACGCUGAGGAGCGAAAGCUAGGGGAGCAAACGGG